Molecule: long non-coding RNA, 301 nt
Filed under: Phoenix dactylifera (date palm)
Lineage: Eukaryota; Viridiplantae; Streptophyta; Magnoliopsida; Arecales; Arecaceae
Description: long non-coding RNA (PDAC_LNC004578)
Source: RNAcentral
GAUGUAACAAUAUGAUUUUGUCAUGUUUAAUUAAUGUUCUUAAUAGAGAUUUUACUGAUAGUGCUACUUAUGCAAGAUUGUUUAAGAGUUGUGGGCAGAUCUGAUGGUUGUUUUUCUGAAGGAAAUGGUCCCAAAAUUUAUAAAUUGAAAAGGAAGCUUGUCACCAUGCAACAAGGAUAGUCUUCUAUACUUGCUUCAAUUCUGUGAAGAAAUCUGGGACAGGCUAACUUUCUUCUCCAAGGUACUACCACGCACAUGUAGUUCUUUCAAGGAACUGUAGAGCGAAUGAAAUGUGGAGAAG